Molecule: ribosomal RNA, 868 nt
Filed under: uncultured bacterium
Lineage: Bacteria
Description: bacterial SSU rRNA
Rfam family: Bacterial small subunit ribosomal RNA
Source: RNAcentral
CUGGCGGCGUGCCUAACACAUGCAAGUCGAACGGGGUGAGGCCCUUCGGGACCUUUACCUAGUGGCGAACGGGUGAGUAACGCGUGAGGAACCUGCCUUUCAGUGGGGGACAACAGUUGGAAACGACUGCUAAUACCGCAUGAAGCUUUUGGGAGACAUCUCCUGAAAGCCAAAGCUUAAUGUGCUGAAAGAUGGCCUCGCGUCUGAUUAGCUAGUUGGUGGGGUAACGGCCCACCAAGGCGACGAUCAGUAGCCGGUCUGAGAGGAUGAACGGCCACAUUGGGACUGAGAUACGGCCCAGACUCCUACGGGAGGCAGCAGUGGGGAAUAUUGGGCAAUGGGCGAAAGCCUGACCCAGCAACGCCGCGUGAAGGAAGAAGGCCUUCGGGUUGUAAACUUCUUUUACCAGGGACGAAGGACGUGACGGUACCUGGAGAAAAAGCAACGGCUAACUACGUGCCAGCAGCCGCGGUAAUACGUAGGUUGCAAGCGUUGUCCGGAUUUACUGGGUGUAAAGGGCGUGUAGGCGGAGAUGCAAGUUAGGAGUGAAAUCUAUGGGCUCAACCCAUAAACUGCUUCUAAAACUGUAUCCCUUGAGUAUCGGAGAGGCAAGCGGAAUUCCUAGUGUAGCGGUGAAAUGCGUAGAUAUUAGGAGGAACACCAGUGGCGAAGGCGGCUUGCUGGACGACAACUGACGCUGAGGCGCGAAAGCGUGGGGAGCAAACAGGAUUAGAUACCCUGGUAGUCCACGCUGUAAACGAUGAAUACUAGGUGUGGGGGGACUGACCCCCUCCGUGCCGCAGUUAACACAAUAAGUAUUCCACCUGGGGAGUACGACCGCAAGGUUGAAACUCAAAGGAAUUGACGG